This 492-nucleotide ribosomal RNA is filed under the name uncultured bacterium. Its description in RNAcentral is "partial 16S ribosomal RNA". It matches the Rfam family "Bacterial small subunit ribosomal RNA", at positions 29 to 507 of the family's 1533-position model. The record is from RNAcentral.
AGUGAACGCUGGCGGUAGGCCUAACACAUGCAAGUCGAACGGCAGCACAGUAAGAGCUUGCUCUUACGGGUGGCGAGUGGCGGACGGGUGAGGAAUACAUCGGAAUCUACUUUUUCGUGGGGGAUAACGUAGGGAAACUUACGCUAAUACCGCAUACGACCUACGGGUGAAAGCAGGGGAUCUUCGGACCUUGCGCGAUUGAAUGAGCCGAUGUCGGAUUAGCUAGUUGGCGGGGUAAAGGCCCACCAAGGCGACGAUCCGUAGCUGGUCUGAGAGGAUGAUCAGCGACACUGGAACUGAGACACGGUCCAGACUCCUACGGGAGGCAGCAGUGGGGAAGAUUGGACAAUGGGCGCAAGCCUGAUCCAGCCAUACCGCGUGGGUGAAGAAGGCCUUCGGGUUGUAAAGCCCUUUUGUUGGGAAAGAAAAGCAGCAGGUUAAUACCCCGCUGUUCUGACGGUACACAAAGAAUAAGCACAGGCUAACUUCGUG